GUCUACGGCCAUGCUACCCUGAACAUGCCUGAUCCCAUGUGAUCUCGGAAGCUAAGCAGGGUGGGGCCUGAUUAGUACUUGGAUGGGAGACCAACUAGGAAGACCAGGUGCUGUAGGCG
RNAcentral lists this ribosomal RNA (119 nucleotides) under Pteropus alecto (black flying fox). The record is from RNAcentral. Lineage: Eukaryota; Metazoa; Chordata; Mammalia; Chiroptera; Pteropodidae.